GUGAGGUUUUGUGAUAUACAGU
This 22-nucleotide small nuclear RNA is filed under the name Arabidopsis thaliana (thale cress). Its description in RNAcentral is "snRNA_03053". The record is from RNAcentral. Lineage: Eukaryota; Viridiplantae; Streptophyta; Magnoliopsida; Brassicales; Brassicaceae.